GUUUUGAUCGUCGUCUGAGAAGGACGCGUUUUUGUGGUGCUAACGCACAUUUUUUCCAGAGUGAGUCUAGGGCAAACUACUGCGAAAAGAGAUUUCGUUUUCCGCGAGUUAUGUCCGAAUGGUGAAUACACAUGUUUGUUAUACGGCCACAUACCACUUGAUUCGUUGGUGAACUGCUGUCUUGGAGGAGGCGAGCUCCAGCAAAGAUCGAUGGUUGUGGAGACGGGAGACCACCAGAGUACUCCAGCCGGCAGAUGGUCAAUCGAUGACAGCCGAAAACGACAAAUCAAAACGAACCAACAAGGAAGAACGACAUCAGAUGACAUGUCGUAGUGGAACUUACGUUCGGAAGCUGAAAUUGAAGGUAUUGAGAACAAUUAAGGCAAACCCGGCACUCUCGAACUACAACACCACCAAAGAACACAACUCUAACCAAAGUAUCGUCCGGAGAAUUCAUAUGCGAGAAGGUUAUCGUAAUUUCCGUGUCCACAAGUAACAAAAUAGGACACUGAAGCAAAAUCUGAUGGCCAAAAGACGCACUCCAAAGUUGUACAGCAAGGUUUUGAUGAAGUACGGAGGAUGUAUGUUGAUGGGUGACGAAACGCACGUGAAGGCGGAUUUUGGACACCUCCCAGAACGGAAUAUAAAGAGGAGAUAUCUCCAGGAUAAA
This is a long non-coding RNA of Toxorhynchites rutilus septentrionalis, 670 nucleotides long. RefSeq lists it as uncharacterized. The transcript has 2 exons. NCBI's taxonomy places the organism in Eukaryota, Metazoa, Arthropoda, Insecta, Diptera, Culicidae. The record is from RefSeq and is a predicted model, not a curated record.